Molecule: ribosomal RNA, 253 nt
Filed under: uncultured bacterium
Lineage: Bacteria
Description: partial 16S ribosomal RNA
Rfam family: Bacterial small subunit ribosomal RNA
Source: RNAcentral
UACAGAGGGGGCAAGCGUUGUUCGGAAUUACUGGGCGUAAAGGGCGCGUAGGCGGCCUUCUAAGUCGAACGUGAAAUCCCCGGGCUCAACCCGGGAACUGCGUCCGAUACUGGAAGGCUUGAAUCCGGGAGAGGGAUGUGGAAUUCCAGGUGUAGCGGUGAAAUGCGUAGAUAUCUGGAGGAACACCGGUGGCGAAGGCGACAUCCUGGACCGGUAUUGACGCUGAGGCGCGAAAGCAUGGGGAGCGAACAGG